UGCCUGAGAGUGAGUAAAGUGUCAACAAAUGAAAAAAUGAUGCAACUACUUCCAAUAGGGCUGUAGUGUUGUGCGAUUUCUGAGUUAAUAUUUAUAUUGUUUGGAGAUGAUUUAUCAAGAAGAGUAAAUUAAAUGAUUUGAUGGCAUUUCAGUGUAUAAACUAUUUAUUAUAGGUACAUUCCUAUUAUAAAGAGCAUUUCUAUACAAAUAUAACACAUUUCAUUUUCUUCUGUAUUAAUGACUUCUUUUUAUAAUGAUAUGUUAUAUUAAAUGGAAUAUUUGACUGUGAAAUGGAACAUUAGAGGCUCAGGUGCCAUUUCCUCGCCCCUGUUGAAUGAUGUCAUGUAGCAAACAUGCUGAACACAGCUCAGCUUAUGAAAGACAGAACUAAAUGUCUCUCAGUUCAGCAAAUAAAAUUAUUUUUGGAAGUUAAA
This is a long non-coding RNA of Sinocyclocheilus anshuiensis, 434 nucleotides long. RefSeq lists it as uncharacterized. NCBI's taxonomy places the organism in Eukaryota, Metazoa, Chordata, Actinopteri, Cypriniformes, Cyprinidae. The transcript is spliced from 2 exons. The record is from RefSeq and is a predicted model, not a curated record.